UUGAAGGUUUGAUGAGGGAGCUGGAAAACACUUCACGUAAUUUGGAUCUGUGAGCUGGUUGUUUUGUUGUAGAUUUAACUUUGCUUCAAAAUGAAAUAAGGAACCGAGCCCUAAGUUUCUUCUUCACUGCAGACUAUUGCUGCUGCCGCGGGUAUAACCAAUUUGCCAUGGGUAUAAAUUUCUUCUUCACUGGAGUGAAUAUAAGAGUUGACAGCAUACUUAGCGCCUGUGGCGAUGCUUUUGAGCAUGAGGUAACUAGAAGAAUGCGUAAUGAAUUUAUGGUAGCUUGGGAUGGCUUGAGGUCAAAAGACAACCAGAGAAUCAUAGCAGGUUGAUUAAUUAGUUCUUGAGGACUUGGUGCUAGAAACAUUGUAUGAUAGAUUUUUGUUUUAGCUAUAAGGUUGUUGGUAUUUUCAAUUUUGAAUCGGAAUAUGCAAUGAUGAUGUAUACUUGAUAUUUGGUUCAUUUGUAUAAUAAUGUAUGAAUUUCUUGGAUGAUAUAUAAUAUUGUUAUCGUUGAUUUUAUCA
Long non-coding RNA from Salvia miltiorrhiza (redroot sage), 527 nucleotides. RefSeq lists it as uncharacterized. The record is from RefSeq and is a predicted model, not a curated record. The transcript is spliced from 2 exons. NCBI's taxonomy places the organism in Eukaryota, Viridiplantae, Streptophyta, Magnoliopsida, Lamiales, Lamiaceae.